GCCCAGAUGGUGGAAUUGGUAGACACGCCAGCUUGAGGGGCUGGUGCUCAUUGCGAGCGUGCAGGUUCGACUCCUGUUCUGGGCA
Transfer RNA from Lewinella sp. 4G2, 85 nucleotides. It matches the Rfam family "tRNA". From Rfam's summary of the family: Transfer RNA (tRNA) molecules are approximately 80 nucleotides in length. The record is from Rfam. Lineage: Bacteria; Pseudomonadati; Bacteroidota; Saprospiria; Saprospirales; Lewinellaceae.